RNAcentral lists this ribosomal RNA (1199 nucleotides) under uncultured marine diplonemid. Its description in RNAcentral is "SSU rRNA". It matches the Rfam family "Eukaryotic small subunit ribosomal RNA", at positions 570 to 1574 of the family's 1831-position model. Lineage: Eukaryota; Euglenozoa; Diplonemea. The record is from RNAcentral.
GCACCCGCGGUAAUUCCAGCACCAAUAGCGUAUAUUAAUGCUGCUGCUGUUAAAAAGCUCGUAGUUGGAUCAAGAGUCGGACAGUGCAAGGUGGCCCUGUUUGCCCGUUAUGGUUCCGACCAUGGCGGCGGCAGCGGAUCAACCCCUUGCACCAAACUGUCCGCUCUAACAGGCCGAAACGGUUCCCUGUGAGUAGGUCCCUUCAUUGGGAUCGAAAGCGCCUACGCAUCAACCAUAUGCAUACGGGACGUCGGCCAACGUUACUGUGAACAAACCAGCGUGUCCAAAGCAGGCUUUCGCCUGAAUGUUCGAGCAUGGAAUAACAAGGGAUCGAUUCUCUCGGUUCUUUUUGUUGGUUUUUAACCCGAGAAGGAGUAAUUCAGGCCACGGUGUCUGAGUUUGGUUCCCCUGCUCUUCGGAGUAGGCCCCAAUUAGGCCGUGUCCUUACGGGAUCAAUAGGGACUGACGGGGUCGUACGCACUUCCGCGUCAGAGGUGAAAUUCUUAGAUCGCGGGAAGACGAACUUCUGCGAAAGCAUUCGACAAGAAUGUCUUCAUUAAUCAAGAACGAGAGUGUGGGGAUCGAAGAUGAUCAGAUACCGUCGUAGUCCACUACUGUAAACAAUGCCGUCUCAGGAUUGAGAAGUGAACCAAAUGACUUUCACAGCACUAACCCCUGAAACGAGAAAUCAAAGAUUAUGGGUUCAGGGGGGAGUACAUUCGCAAGGCUGAAACUUAAAGGAAUUGACGGAAUGACACCACAAGGCGUGGAGUAUGCGGCUUAAUUUGACUCAACACGGGGAAUUUUACUAGGUCAGGACAAUGUAAGGAUUGACAGAUUGAGAGCUCUUUCUCGAUCCAUUGUGUGGUGGUGCAUGGCCGCUCCUGGUUGGUGGAGUGAUUUGUCUGGUUGAUUCCGUUAACGAACGAGAUCUCGACCCUUAAAUAGGUGCCCGUAUCGAUUGUAGUCUCACCUCCGCUUGCUUGCAAGAUUGGAGUGGGACGAGAUUGCGGGAAUACUUCUUAAGGGGACUGUAUGCGUUUAUAGCAUGCGGAGGAGCGAGCCAAUAGCAGGUCUGUGAUGCUCCUAAAUGUCCUAGGCUGCACGCGCACUACACUGAUGCAAUAAACGAGUCUGAGUGCCUUCUGGCAACCUACCUGGAAGCGGGUGGGAAAUCUUUUGAACUGCAUCGUGAUGAG